AGGAAGUGGAGGGACAGGAAGUGGAGAAUCCAGCAGGGGCCAAUGUUGGACAAGACUCCUUUGCCAGCUGCGCUCCCCAUGCAACGGGAUGAGGAGAUUUUAAGCCUCUACCAGAAAAACUCAAGUCUGGAAAUAAUUUAAUUUUUCCUGGGUCUCUGCCAGCCAUCUCCAGAGUUUUGUCAAAUUUUCCACCUACUUCCUCUGUGUGUGGAAACUCAGCCUCCAUUUUAGAAACUCCAUUCCCAACAGUGGUUCUGCACCACCACCCAUGUUUUUUUGUUUGUUUGUUUGUUUGUUUGUUUGUUUUUGGUUAUCCUGGAGGUUUUGUGGAUUAAGAUGUGUGAGAUGAGGGGUUUAUAGGGACUGGCUGGAGGUAUGCCCUCCCUUCCACCCACACACCCACACACACACACACACACUGUUGUGCAGAAGAUGUUUCUUGGGUGGCUGAGCAAAGAAUCAGAUACAAGCAAGGAAAUGUGUGGCAUCUGGCUACCAUGAGCUGAAGACAAAGCCUACAUGGGGAAAAGUGCAACACCAGGAGAAUGGGAGAGAAAUGGAGCCACGCACUGAUGCUAUUAUGAAAC
Molecule: non-coding RNA, 587 nt
Filed under: Pongo abelii (Sumatran orangutan)
Lineage: Eukaryota; Metazoa; Chordata; Mammalia; Primates; Hominidae
Source: RNAcentral